Molecule: ribosomal RNA, 610 nt
Filed under: Pseudomonas aeruginosa
Lineage: Bacteria; Pseudomonadati; Pseudomonadota; Gammaproteobacteria; Pseudomonadales; Pseudomonadaceae
Description: bacterial SSU rRNA
Rfam family: Bacterial small subunit ribosomal RNA
Source: RNAcentral
AUGCCUAGGAAUCUGCCUGGUAGUGGGGGAUAACGUCCGGAAACGGGCGCUAAUACCGCAUACGUCCUGAGGGAGAAAGUGGGGGAUCUUCGGACCUCACAAUAUCAGAUGAGCCUAGGUCGGAUUAGCUAGUUGGUGGGGUAAAGGCCUACCAAGGCGACGAUCCGUAACUGGUCUGAAAGGAUGAUCAGUCACACUGGAACUGAGACACGGUCCAGACUCCUACGGGAGGCAGCAGUUGGGAAUAUUGGACAAUGGGCGAAAGCCUGAUCCAGCCAUGCCGCGUGUGUGAAGAAGGUCUUCGGAUUGUAAAGCACUUUAAGUUGGGAGGAAGGGCAGUAAGUUAAUACCUUGCUGUUUUGACGUUACCAACAGAAUAAGCACCGGCUAACUUCGUGCCAGCAGCCCCGGUAAUACGAAGGGUGCAAGCGUUAAUCGGAAUUACUGGGCGUAAAGCGCGCGUAGGUGGUUCAGCAAGUUGGAUGUGAAAUCCCCGGGCUCAACCUGGGAACUGCAUCCAAAACCACUGAGCUAGAGUACGGUAGAGGGUGGUGGAAUUUCCUGUGUAGCGGUGAAAUGCGUAGAUAUAGGAAGGAACACCAGUGGCGAA